Molecule: ribosomal RNA, 117 nt
Organism: Segniliparus rugosus ATCC BAA-974
Lineage: Bacteria; Bacillati; Actinomycetota; Actinomycetes; Mycobacteriales; Segniliparaceae
Source: Rfam
UACGGUGACAAUAGCGAAGAGGAAACGCCCGGUCCCAUUCCGAACCCGGAAGCUAAGCUCUUCAGCGCCGAUGGUACUGCAUGCGGGAGCGUGUGGGAGAGUAGGACAUCGCCGUAC